GUGGGGAAUCUUGCGCAAUGGGCGAAAGCCUGACGCAGCCAUGCCGCGUGAAUGAUGAAGGUCUUAGGAUUGUAAAAUUCUUUCACCGGGGACGAUAAUGACGGUACCCGGAGAAGAAGCUCCGGCUAACUUCGUGCCAGCAGCCGCGGUAAUACGAAGGGGGCUAGCGUUGCUCGGAAUUACUGGGCGUAAAGGGCGCGUAGGCGGACAGCUUAGUCAGAGGUGAAAGCCUAGGGCUCAACCUUGGAAUUGCCUUUGAUACUGGCUGUCUUGAGUUUGGGAGAGGUGAGUGGAACUCCGAGUGUAGAGGUGAAAUUCGUAGAUAUUCGGAAGAACACCAGUGGCGAAGGCGACUCACUGGCCCAAUACUGACGCUGAGGCGCGAAAGCGUGGGGAGCAAACAGGAUUAGAAACCCCGGUAGUCC
This 425-nucleotide ribosomal RNA is filed under the name uncultured bacterium. RNAcentral's name for it is "partial 16S ribosomal RNA". It matches the Rfam family "Bacterial small subunit ribosomal RNA", at positions 354 to 796 of the family's 1533-position model. The record is from RNAcentral.